Molecule: long non-coding RNA, 394 nt
Organism: Strongylocentrotus purpuratus (purple sea urchin)
Lineage: Eukaryota; Metazoa; Echinodermata; Echinoidea; Camarodonta; Strongylocentrotidae
Exons: 3
Source: RefSeq, a predicted model, not a curated record
CUCCGAGCAAAACAAGGUAGCCAUGGAAAAGUUCAAAGAAGCCGAAGAACUAAGAUUGAAUAUUGAAGAGAAGAAUACGAUACUCGAGUAUGAAAUCAAGCUUGCCAAGAAUAAGGUUGCUGAUUACAAAGCUGAUAACAAAGAUCUUAACGUUCAUAACAGAGGUCUCAAACACCAAAUAGAGUUCCAGAAGAAAAGCAAUGAGGAGCUUGAAGGGAGAGCAUUCACUUUGGUAGAAAUGCUCGAUCUACUGGAGAAGAAAGUAUUUCUAGCUGAGAAUAGACAGAAGCAACUAGAGGGUGAGCUUCAGGUAAGAAACAUCCCAUCUCAGUAUGGCUAUUAUAAUUUUCUAUUCUUACACUUUAAAAAAAAAAAAAAAAAAAAAAAAAAAAAA